CCUACGGGGAGCUGCAGUGAGGAAUAUUGGUCAAUGGGCGAGAGCCUGAACCAGCCAAGUCGCGUGAAGGAUGACGGCCCUACGGGUUGUAAACUUCUUUUGUCAGGGAGCAAUUGAGUCCACGUGUGGGCUUAGCGAGAGUACCUGAAGAAAAAGCCUCGGUUAACUCCGUGCCAGAAGCCGCGGUACUACGGAGGAUGCGAGCGUUAUCCGGAUUUCUUGGGUUAAAAGGGUGCGUAGGCGGAAUAUCAAGUCCGCGGUAAACAUUCGGGGCUCAACCUCGUCGUGCCGUUGAAACUGAUGUUCUUGAGUGGGCGAGAAGUAUGCGGAAGGCGUGGUGUAGCGGUGAAAUGCGUAGAUAUCACGCAGAACUCCGAUUGCGAAGGCAGCAUACCGGCGCCCAACUGACGCUGAAGCACGAAAGCGUGGGUAUCGAACAGGAUUAGAGACCCUUGUAGUC
Molecule: ribosomal RNA, 460 nt
Filed under: uncultured bacterium
Lineage: Bacteria
Description: partial 16S ribosomal RNA
Rfam family: Bacterial small subunit ribosomal RNA
Source: RNAcentral